RNAcentral lists this ribosomal RNA (253 nucleotides) under uncultured bacterium. RNAcentral's name for it is "partial 16S ribosomal RNA". It matches the Rfam family "Bacterial small subunit ribosomal RNA", at positions 524 to 776 of the family's 1533-position model. The record is from RNAcentral.
UACGUAGGGUGCAAGCGUUAAUCGGAAUUACUGGGCGUAAAGCGUGCGCAGGCGGUUAUAUAAGACAGAUGUGAAAUCCCCGGGCUCAACCUGGGAACUGCAUUAGUGACUGUAUAGCUGGAGUGCGGCAGAGGGGGAUGGAAUUCCGCGUGUAGCAGUGAAAUGCGUAGAUAUGCGGAGGAACACCGAUGGCGAAGGCAGCCCCCUGGGACGCCACUGACGCUCAUGCACGAAAGCGUGGGGAGCAAACAGG